AUUGAACGCUGGCGGCAGGCCUAACACAUGCAAGUCGAACGGUAACAGGAAGAAGCUUGCUUCUUUGCUGACGAGUGGCGGACGGGUGAGUAAUGUCUGGGAAACUGCCUGAUGGAGGGGGAUAACUACUGGAAACGGUAGCUAAUAACGCAUAACGUCGCAAAACCAAAGAGGGGGACCUUCGGGCCUCUUGCCAUCGGAUGUGCCCAGAUGGGAUUAGCUAGUAGGUGGGGUAACGGCUCACCUAGGCGACGAUCCCUAGCUGGUCUGAGAGGAUGACCAGCCACACUGGAACUGAGACACGGUCCAGACUCCUACGGGAGGCAGCAGUGGGGAAUAUUGCACAAUGGGCGCAAGCCUGAUGCAGCCAUGCCGCGUGUAUGAAGAAGGCCUUCGGGUUGUAAAGUACUUUCAGCGGGGAGGAAGGGAGUAAAGUUAAUACCUUUGCUCAUUGACGUUACCCGCAGAAGAAGCACCGGCUAACUCCGUG
Molecule: ribosomal RNA, 490 nt
Filed under: uncultured bacterium
Lineage: Bacteria
Description: partial 16S ribosomal RNA
Rfam family: Bacterial small subunit ribosomal RNA
Source: RNAcentral